Molecule: ribosomal RNA, 1527 nt
Filed under: Klebsiella aerogenes
Lineage: Bacteria; Pseudomonadati; Pseudomonadota; Gammaproteobacteria; Enterobacterales; Enterobacteriaceae
Description: bacterial SSU rRNA
Rfam family: Bacterial small subunit ribosomal RNA
Source: RNAcentral
AGAGUUUGAUCAUGGCUCAGAUUGAACGCUGGCGGCAGGCCUAACACAUGCAAGUCGAGCGGUAGCACAGAGAGCUUGCUCUCGGGUGACGAGCGGCGGACGGGUGAGUAAUGUCUGGGAAACUGCCUGAUGGAGGGGGAUAACUACUGGAAACGGUAGCUAAUACCGCAUAACGUCGCAAGACCAAAGUGGGGGACCUUCGGGCCUCAUGCCAUCAGAUGUGCCCAGAUGGGAUUAGCUAGUAGGUGGGGUAAUGGCUCACCUAGGCGACGAUCCCUAGCUGGUCUGAGAGGAUGACCAGCCACACUGGAACUGAGACACGGUCCAGACUCCUACGGGAGGCAGCAGUGGGGAAUAUUGCACAAUGGGCGCAAGCCUGAUGCAGCCAUGCCGCGUGUAUGAAGAAGGCCUUCGGGUUGUAAAGUACUUUCAGCGAGGAGGAAGGCAUUAAGGUUAAUAACCUUGGUGAUUGACGUUACUCGCAGAAGAAGCACCGGCUAACUCCGUGCCAGCAGCCGCGGUAAUACGGAGGGUGCAAGCGUUAAUCGGAAUUACUGGGCGUAAAGCGCACGCAGGCGGUCUGUCAAGUCGGAUGUGAAAUCCCCGGGCUCAACCUGGGAACUGCAUUCGAAACUGGCAGGCUAGAGUCUUGUAGAGGGGGGUAGAAUUCCAGGUGUAGCGGUGAAAUGCGUAGAGAUCUGGAGGAAUACCGGUGGCGAAGGCGGCCCCCUGGACAAAGACUGACGCUCAGGUGCGAAAGCGUGGGGAGCAAACAGGAUUAGAUACCCUGGUAGUCCACGCCGUAAACGAUGUCGACUUGGAGGUUGUGCCCUUGAGGCGUGGCUUCCGGAGCUAACGCGUUAAGUCGACCGCCUGGGGAGUACGGCCGCAAGGUUAAAACUCAAAUGAAUUGACGGGGGCCCGCACAAGCGGUGGAGCAUGUGGUUUAAUUCGAUGCAACGCGAAGAACCUUACCUACUCUUGACAUCCAGAGAACUUAGCAGAGAUGCUUUGGUGCCUUCGGGAACUCUGAGACAGGUGCUGCAUGGCUGUCGUCAGCUCGUGUUGUGAAAUGUUGGGUUAAGUCCCGCAACGAGCGCAACCCUUAUCCUUUGUUGCCAGCGAUUCGGUCGGGAACUCAAAGGAGACUGCCAGUGAUAAACUGGAGGAAGGUGGGGAUGACGUCAAGUCAUCAUGGCCCUUACGAGUAGGGCUACACACGUGCUACAAUGGCAUAUACAAAGAGAAGCGACCUCGCGAGAGCAAGCGGACCUCAUAAAGUAUGUCGUAGUCCGGAUUGGAGUCUGCAACUCGACUCCAUGAAGUCGGAAUCGCUGGUAAUCGUAGAUCAGAAUGCUACGGUGAAUACGUUCCCGGGCCUUGUACACACCGCCCGUCACACCAUGGGAGUGGGUUGCAAAAGAAGUAGGUAGCUUAACCUUCGGGAGGGCGCUUACCACUUUGUGAUUCAUGACUGGGUGAAGUCGUAACAAGGUAACCGUAGGGGAACCUGCGGUUGGAUCACCU